Molecule: ribosomal RNA, 468 nt
Filed under: uncultured bacterium
Lineage: Bacteria
Description: partial 16S ribosomal RNA
Rfam family: Bacterial small subunit ribosomal RNA
Source: RNAcentral
GACGAACGCUGGCGGCGUGCUUAACACAUGCAAGUCGAACGGAAAGGCCCUGCUAUUGUGGGGUGCUCGAGUGGCGAACGGGUGAGUAACACGUGAGUAACCUGCCCUUGACUUUGGGAUCACUUCAGGAAACUGGGGCUAAUAUCGGAUAGGAGCUCCUGCUGCAUGGAGGGGGUUGGAACGUUUCGGCGGUAUGGGAUGGACGCGCGGCUUAUCAGCUUGUGGGUGGGGUAGUGGCUUACCACGGCUUUGACGGGUAGCCGGCAUGAGAGGGUGGACGGCGACAUGAGUACUGAGAUACGACGCAGAGGGGUACGGGAGACAGCAGGGGGGAGUAUUGCACAAUGAGCGGAAGCCUGAGGCGGCAACGCCGCGUGCGUGAUGACGGUCUUCGGGGUGUGAACCGCUUUCGCCUGAGACGAAGCGUGAGUGACGGUAAUGGGUAAAGAAGCACCGGCUAACUACGUG